This 764-nucleotide ribosomal RNA is filed under the name uncultured Streptococcus sp. Its description in RNAcentral is "bacterial SSU rRNA". It matches the Rfam family "Bacterial small subunit ribosomal RNA", at positions 28 to 776 of the family's 1533-position model. Lineage: Bacteria; Bacillati; Bacillota; Bacilli; Lactobacillales; Streptococcaceae. The record is from RNAcentral.
GACGAACGCUGGCGGCGUGCCUAAUACAUGCAAGUAGAACGCUGAAGGAGGAGCUUGCUUCUCUGGAUGAGUUGCGAACGGGUGAGUAACGCGUAGGUAACCUGCCUGGUAGCGGGGGAUAACUAUUGGAAACGAUAGCUAAUACCGCAUAAUAGCAGUUGUUGCAUGACAGCUGUUUGAAAGGUGCAAUUGCACCACUACCAGAUGGACCUGCGUUGCAUUAGCUAGUUGGUGGGGUAACGGCUCACCAAGGCGACGAUACAUAGCCGACCUGAGAGGGUGAUCGGCCACACUGGGACUGAGACACGGCCCAGACUCCUACGGGAGGCAGCAGUAGGGAAUCUUCGGCAAUGGACGGAAGUCUGACCGAGCAACGCCGCGUGAGUGAAGAAGGUUUUCGGAUCGUAAAGCUCUGUUGUAAGAGAAGAAUGAGUGUGAGAGUGGAAAGUUCACACUGUGACGGUAUCUUACCAGAAAGGGACGGCUAACUACGUGCCAGCAGCCGCGGUAAUACGUAGGUCCCGAGCGUUGUCCGGAUUUAUUGGGCGUAAAGCGAGCGCAGGCGGUUAGAUAAGUCUGAAGUUAAAGGCUGUGGCUUAACCAUAGUACGCUUUGGAAACUGUUUAACUUGAGUGCAAGAGGGGAGAGUGGAAUUCCAUGUGUAGCGGUGAAAUGCGUAGAUAUAUGGAGGAACACCGGUGGCGAAAGCGGCUCUCUGGCUUGUAACUGACGCUGAAGCUCGAAAGCGUGGGGGAGCAAACAGG